RNAcentral lists this ribosomal RNA (465 nucleotides) under uncultured bacterium. Its description in RNAcentral is "bacterial SSU rRNA". It matches the Rfam family "Bacterial small subunit ribosomal RNA", at positions 28 to 494 of the family's 1533-position model. The record is from RNAcentral.
GAUGAACGCUGGCGGCGUGCUUAACACAUGCAAGUCGAACGGGAAUUACUUUAUUGAAACUUCGGUCGAUUUAAUUUAAUUCUAGUGGCGGACGGGUGAGUAACGCGUGGGUAACCUGCCUUAUACAGGGGGAUAACAGUCAGAAAUGGCUGCUAAUACCGCAUAAGCGCACAGAGCUGCAUGGCUCGGUGUGAAAAACUCCGGUGGUAUAAGAUGGACCCGCGUUGGAUUAGCUUGUUGGUGGGGUAACGGCCCACCAAGGCGACGAUCCAUAGCCGGCCUGAGAGGGUGAACGGCCACAUUGGGACUGAGACACGGCCCAGACUCCUACGGGAGGCAGCAGUGGGGAAUAUUGCACAAUGGGGGAAACCCUGAUGCAGCGACGCCGCGUGAAGGAAGAAGUAUCUCGGUAUGUAAACUUCUAUCAGCAGGGAAGAUAGUGACGGUACCUGACUAAGAAGCCCC